UUUUUGAGAGGGGCAGUCUGGUGCCAGCAGCCGCGGUAAUUCCAGCUCCAAUAGCGUAUAUUAAAGUUGUUGCAGUUAAAAAGCUCGUAGUUGAAUUUCGGGGUUCUACCGUUGGUCGGGCUUUGUCUGUACUGAUGUGUAGAAUUUCUACCUUCUGGGGAACCAUCAUGUUAUUAAUUUAGCGUGGUGGGAAACCAGGACCUUUACCUUGAAAAAAUUAGAGUGUUCAAAGCAGGCUUAUGUCUGAAUACAUUAGCAUGGAAUAAUAGAAUAGGACGGUGGUCCUGUUUUGUUGGUUUCUGAAUCACCGUAAUGAUUAAUAGGGAUAGUUGGGGGCAUUAGUAUUCAAUUGUCAGAGGUGAAAUUCUUGGAUUUAUUGAAGACUAACUUCUGCGAAAGCAUUUGCCAAGGAUGUUUUCAUUAAUCAAGAACGAAAGUUAGGGGAUCGAAGACGAUCAGAUACCGUCGUAGUCUUAACCAUAAACUAUGCCGACUAGGGAUCGGAC
RNAcentral lists this ribosomal RNA (506 nucleotides) under uncultured fungus. Its description in RNAcentral is "SSU rRNA". It matches the Rfam family "Eukaryotic small subunit ribosomal RNA", at positions 539 to 1058 of the family's 1831-position model. Lineage: Eukaryota; Fungi. The record is from RNAcentral.